Molecule: long non-coding RNA, 278 nt
Filed under: Mytilus galloprovincialis (Mediterranean mussel)
Lineage: Eukaryota; Metazoa; Mollusca; Bivalvia; Mytilida; Mytilidae
Source: RNAcentral
CUUACUUAUUUUAGGAUGGUGGUGGUCAUUUACUGUUCCAUUAAUAGAUAAUUAGUUGUGAUUUUUAUCCUCAUUAAGAAAUGUAUUAUAUAUGAUAAAUUUAAUCUUUCUCCAAUUUGUUUGAUCAAACCAUUUUAAGUUUUUGUUCUAAAGAUAUCAUAGAAUUUGCAAGCCUAUAUAUGGGAUCAGGGUGUAUCAUUGUGUGGGCCAUUUUUUUUAAUAAUUCAGAAAGAUUUAUAUUAUUGUAAUGAAAUCCAUUGUUCAAACAUUUCAGCCAC